GCGGGGCAGACAAUGAUGGGAGGGUCUGCAGCACAGACACAGGCUCCUUGAAGACGCCCGUGGUGAGAUCAGCCCCAGGUCGCCGCUUCCACAGACAGGCCUUUUCCUAAAGUGGAUGAAGGGAGUCAAAUAGGCCAGCUUCGUGUCUUGAUCUGCCUUUGCUGUCAUUCACGCAUCUGUCCUCAUGAAGGCUUAACCUACCAUGUUUAUCAGAAAUCUCAGCCUAAAUUCAUUCGAUUUUUACCUAGAGAUGAGGAAUGUGUUAAAUCACUCUACUCCACAAGGAACCAAACCAAACAGCAUCAGCACCAGGCUGAGUCGCGGAAAGGAUCUGUCAGACCGCUCCACUGGCAUCGACUCAGCUCGGGAGCUACGUUCAAAGAAGGGACCCAAGGAUUGAGAAGAACAAUGGAUUUUUUGAUGUGUGGUGCAACAAACGCAUAGCUGAGGGCUGUAAAUCGGGAUGGAUCAGUCGGUCUGCCCACCAGCCGUGAGGGAAGUGGGGAGAAGCUGUCACCCCAACUUGAGUUCAAGAAGACUC
Homo sapiens (human) is the source of this 541-nucleotide long non-coding RNA. Ensembl annotates it as PITRM1 antisense RNA 1. Its record names the gene PITRM1-AS1. The record is from Ensembl. Lineage: Eukaryota; Metazoa; Chordata; Mammalia; Primates; Hominidae.